Molecule: small RNA, 532 nt
Filed under: Pongo abelii (Sumatran orangutan)
Lineage: Eukaryota; Metazoa; Chordata; Mammalia; Primates; Hominidae
Description: retained intron
Source: RNAcentral
AGUUCUUGUCUCUCUCUUGAUGAUGCUCCUUUUCCCGAUGUGUAGGUUCAUGGGACGGCUCCAGACAUUGCAGGCAAGGACAUGGCGAAUCCCACAGCCCUCCUGCUCAGUGCCGUGAUGAUGCUGCGCCACAUGGGACUUUUUGACCAUGCUGCAAGAAUUGAGGCCGCGUGUUUUGCUACAAUUAAGGACGGAAAGAGCUUGACAAAAGAUUUGGGAGGCAAUGCAAAAUGCUCAGACUUCACAGAGGAAAUCUGUCGCCGAGUAAAAGAUUUAGAUUAACGCUUCUACAACUGGUAUUUACAUCAGUCACUCUAAAUGGACACCACAUAAACCUCUGUUUAGAAUACCUACGUAUGUAUGCAUUGGUUUACUUGUUUCUUGACAGUACAUUUUUAGAUCUGGCCUUUUGUUAACAAAAUCUGUGCAAAGAUGCAGGUGGAUGUCCCUAGGUCUGUUUUCAAAGAACUUUUUCCAAGUGCUUGUUUUAUUUAUUGUCUACCUGGUAAAUGGUUUUUUUUUGUAAACUCUG